AUGUGCCUAAUAUCGGCCAGACGGACGGAGCAAACUGCCGUGGUAUACACCCGUUGGGAACUGAUAAGCCUGGUACAUGGCUCAAUAUUUGGGAUUCGACAUGACAUACCGAAGGAACUCUUACAGAGGAGACAUCGGGGAACCCGUGCAGGGAUGAAGAGAAACAAGAGGAGGUUGGCGAGAACAUGGAGAGAGACUUUUAAACCAGCCCUACCAUCUAUCACAAUGGGGAAUGUUUGCUGCCUAACAAACAAAUUCGAAGAAUUGGAAAGCCUGGUGAGGUACCAGAAAUUGUACCGGGAGAGCAGUAUUGUAUGCCUGACAGAGACGUGGCUGACGGAAAACACGCCUGACUCCCUGAUCAGUUUCACCGGCUUCAAGACAAUCCGAGCGGACAGGGACACCGGAGCGAGCGGUAAGCAGAAAGGAGGGGGGCUUUUACUGCUCGUCAACAACAAAUGGUGUAACCCUAAUCAUGCCACUGUCAAAGAACAGAUAUGCAACAAGGACAUUGAACUUUUAGCGGUUAGUUUAAGGCUAUACUACCUACCCAGAGAGUUCACUGUGGUGAUAACUAUUGCUGUUUACAUUCCCCCAUCUGCCAAGGCGGAAGUCGCGUGUGACGAGCUUCACACCACUAUCGCGAGACUUCAGUCCAAGUUCCCAGAGGCGUUCAUUGUUGUGUCUGGAGAUUUCAACCAUGUCUGUCUCUCUAAGACUUUGCCUACUUUUAAACAGUUUAUUGACUGUGCAACUAGAGGUGGUAAAACACUUGAUCUCUUGUAUGCAAAUGUGAAAAAUGCAUACAAAUGUACAGCACUGCCCCCUCUUGGUCGAUCAGACCACGACAUGCUACAUCUCUCUCCCUCCUACACCCCAGCUGUAAAGAGGCUGCCUGUCACCACCAGAACAUCAAGAGUCUGGCAUCCUGAGGCUGAUGAAGCCCUGAGGUGCUGUUUUGAGACAACAGAUUGGGAUGUGUUCUGUGAGGACUAUGGGGAAGACAUCGACGGCCUAACAGAAUGCAUUACCAAUUACAUCAAUUUCUGUUAUGAUGACAUCAUGCCAUCCAGGGUAAUUCGUUGCUUCCCUAACAACAAACCAUGGAUAACCAGCAGCCUGAAGUCCUUACUAAAUGAGAAGAAAAAGGCUUUCAGGGAGGGCGACAGGAAUAAAAUCAAAGAACUUCAAAAGGAACUUAAGGUGAGGAUUAAGGAGGGGAAAGAAGCAUUUCGGCUCAAACUGGAACAACAGUUGCAGCAGGAUGGAGUGAAGCAGGUAUGGGCUGGAAUGCGAAAGAUCACGGGCAUGAAGCAGAAGGGCAGUACACUGCCUGAUGGUGAACUGAGUCUGGCCGAUGAUCUGAACAGAUUUUUCAACAGAUUUGACUGCCCCACACCACCACUACCGCCCCUACCUGGUCUGCUGACCAAUGCUGCUUCCUCACCACCUCCCCUCCCUCUCUCCAACACUCCUGAGAUGUUACCUGCACAGAGUCCUCUCUUCUCACCUCCUACUCCACCAGCAACCCCACCUAUGACUUUCCAUACUGCCCAGGUUAAGAUGAUGCUGUACAGGCUGAAGCCAGGGAAAGCAGUGGGGCCCGAUGACAUCAGCCCAAGGCUACUGAAGACUUGCUCUUCAGAGUUGUGUGGUAUUCUUACACACCUGUUCAACCUGAGCUUGCGCCUACAGAAGGUCCCAAGGCUGUGGAAAACAUCUUGCCUAGUACCUGUCCCAAAGAAGACCCAUCCCACAAACCACAAUGAUUACAGACCAGUAGCUCUCACUUCACAUAUCAUGAAGACAUUUGAGAGACUUGUCCUCUCCUCCCUCUGCACUAGUGUGUCUACGCAAAUGGACCCUUUACAGUUUGCAUAUCAGCCUAACAUUAGUGUUGAUGAUGCCCUCAUUUACAUGCUGCAGAGGGCAUACACACAUCUGGACACCCCUGAUGCAUCUUUAAGGAUAACAUUCUUUGACUUCUCAUCUGCCUUUAAUACCAUCCAGCCACGUCUGCUAGGGGAGAAGAUGGAGAUGAUGAAGGUGGAUCCAUUACUGGUACUGUGGUGUUUGGACUACCUUUAUCUCAGACCACAGUAUGUGCGCCUACAGAACAAUAUUUCAUGCACCAUCCUCAGCAGCACAGGGGCUCCACAAGGAACUGUUCUGGCUCCAUUCCUGUUCACCAUCUACACAGCGGAUUACAAAUACAACACUAAAAGCUGCUUCUUGCAAAAAUAUUCAGACGACACAGCUGUUGUUGGCCUCAUUAAAGGGGGAAAUGAGGAGGAGUACAGAGACACCAUAGACAAUUUUGUGGAGUGGAGUACACACAAUAAUCUCCAUCUCAACACCACAAAGACAAAGGAGAUAGUUGUGGAUUUCAGGAGGGGAAGGAGGAGGACUCAACCAACACCAAUCAGCAUCGGGGGCACUAUGGUGGAGAUGGUCGCCAACCACAGGUACCUUGGUGUGCAGCUCGACAGUGAGCUGGACUGGAAAAGUCAUAUGGAAGCGGUGUACAAGAAGGGACAAAGUCGACUCUUUUUCUUGAGGAGACUAAGGUCAUUUAACAUCUGCCAACCCCUACUGUGCACUGUCUACCACACAGUGGUGGCCAGUGCUCUGUUUUUCGCUGUGGCAUGUUGGGGAGAAGGCGCCUGCACAGCGGACAAAAAGAGACUGGACAAGCUGAUCAGGAAGGCCAGCUCAGUGGUCGGGGCUGAGCAGCUAAAGGUCCAGCAGGUGGCAGAGGCCAGAAUCCUCAACAAACUGGCCUCAAUAAUGUCUAACCCCACUCACCCACUCCACGCCCUGAAGGUGAUCAAGAACAGCACCUUCAGCCAGAGACUAAUUGCACCAAUAUGCAAAACGGAGCGGUACAGGAAGUCCUGUAUACCAGCUGCCAUACGGUUUUACAAUGCACAAAAUUAA
This 2937-nucleotide long non-coding RNA is filed under the name Gadus morhua (Atlantic cod). RNAcentral's name for it is "lncRNA (ENSGMOG00000025386.1)". The record is from RNAcentral. Lineage: Eukaryota; Metazoa; Chordata; Actinopteri; Gadiformes; Gadidae.